This is a long non-coding RNA of Papaver somniferum (opium poppy), 2789 nucleotides long. RefSeq lists it as uncharacterized. Lineage: Eukaryota; Viridiplantae; Streptophyta; Magnoliopsida; Ranunculales; Papaveraceae. The record is from RefSeq and is a predicted model, not a curated record. The transcript has 7 exons.
UGCACUGUUUUUUUUCUCUCUUUCUCACCAAUACAGAAGAAGAAAAAUAACUGAUAACCCCAGAAUCUGCUUUAUUACCUUCUUAUAAACCAUCACAGACCAAGUUCUACAUCAAUCAAUCAAUCAGAAAUGGCAGUAGAAAUGCAAAUGGAAAUGGAAUUUGAAACAAAAAUCUACAGAUUCUCACAAUCAAAAUACUUCUUUGGAUUCCGUCUCUAUCUUCAGCAUUUUAUAAAUUCAUCUCAUUAGCACUCCAUGACCCAGAUGCUGAUUCUUCUUCCAUUGAAAUCCAUAUAUUAACAAACCAAAACCCAUCUCUUCACCUUGAAUCAUCUUGUACUUCUUCUUCUUCUUCAAGAAUUUCAUCUCUUAAAGAGUUUCUCACUCCAUCUAACACCAUAAUUGCUUCAUCCUCAUUUGAUGCUUGUAUUAAUUUGCUACUUACUAACCCACUCAAUGUUGUUAUUGAAUCUGAGAAUAAAAAUUUCUGAAAUAGAUUUUCAUAUCUGGGAUUGAUUUGAAUGGUGGUGGAUCUGAAUGUGUUACUGUUGGUGAAGAUGGGAGGAUUAAUUUGGUUAAUGUUGGUGACUCUAGGCUGGAUUAUAAAAGGGUAUUUGAUAGUCAUGGAUUGGUAUCCUAUACUACAGUUAAUUGGUGGAAUCAGAGAAAAUUUGGUGUUGUUUCUCAGCUCAAGGGUGAUUGGUUAGGUUAAAAUUUCAUAUUCAUGGGUUUUUUCAAUUAUGCAUAAUUUUGUUUAGUGAGAGUGCUCUGUAUGAAUGUAAAAGGACUAGAUAUAUGCUCAGUAAGAUUUUGCAUUAUAUGGAAAUCUAAGCUAAAAUCCAUGAGCUGGAAGUUUUUCGAGGACUUGGGAAGUAGAAAUUUCUUGAUAUUGAUGUGUUGUAUGUAUCCUUAAUCUGUAAACAAUUAUCUUGUCACUUGUUUUGACAAUAUCAAACCCAUUUGAUUUCAUAGUUAUUGUUUAACAACUCAUAUAUGAGAUGUUUGUCCUUUAAUUCUUUAAGGUGUUAGGAUGAAAAGGGGAAAAUAAACUUGAAUUUGCGGAUAAUACUACUACCUCUAUCUUUGCCUUAGUGCUGUGAAAACACUGAAAUGUGAACGGAGGAAUGUUAGCAAAACGUUGUCAUUUACAUUUAUUUCUUUUUGACUGGAGUAUGCGAACUUCACAGAUUUUAGUACCAUUUCAUUGUAUAUACUUGAAACUGUUAUUGAAUGUAUUCAUACUUACGUAACUUUUGUUACAUUUUCCGUUGCAGGGCUCAUGGGAGUACAUCUGGGAUUGUACACUCAAUCAACAUUCAUCCUUCACGAAAGCAUGUCUGUGUGAUUUGCUGCAUUGGUUUCUAGCUGCUGAUACCAGAGGAGCCACACUCAGUCGAUGCGAUCGAAAUCCAAAAAUGGAAAUGGAGUGUGAGUAAAGCAAAAAAGUGUAACCGGGAGAGGCAUGCUCAGAGGUGGCCCGAAAAAUGAAAGAUGAGGAGGGCUUCUACUAUCCUCACAAUCUAGAUUUCGUGGCCGUGCGUACCCCAUGCAUUCACAUUUGAAUCAUCUUAGUUCAGAUCUUUGUCGAGGUGUUCUGGAGUUUGCUGAAGGCAGGCCACUAAGGAAAGCUCAAAGCUGGCUUGCGCUGGCCGAAGAUUCAUUUGGCAAAUCUAUAUGCAGGCGGUGUUAAUAAGCUCCCCUGUGAAGAGCGUGUAAUGUUUGUGGCGAUAAUCACCUGGAUGAUAUAUUAGAUUCAGCACAGAGGCUGAUUGAUGGAAAACGUUGGUGGUUAAGUGCAGAAGAUCCUUUCCAGUGAUUAGCAGCAUGUAUGAAACUGCCAGACUCCCUGAGGAGCUCGUCACCAUACACUGUCAUCUCCCACCUGCCAAUUCAUCAAUUUGAGGCCUAUGAAAAAACUUCUUUCUGUUAGGAUGGAUCAUGCAACGGUUUGCAGCACUAUGCAGCCCUUGGGGGAGACAGUUUGGAGGCAGCUGCAGUAAUUUAAUAGCGGGAGAGAGGCCGGCAGAUGUUUAUUCAGAAAUAGCUGCUAGAGUUCAUGAUAUUAUGCAAAGAGACUGCAGCAAAGAUCCGGCAACAAAUUCAGCUGCUUGACUCGCAAAUCUCUUAAUUGAUCAGCUUUCAGGUAGACCGGAAAUUGGUGAAACAAACUGUGAUGACCUCAGUGUAUGGCGUAACUUACGUUGGUGCGCGUGAGCAGAUUAAGAGGAGAUUGAUGGAAAUGGGUAACAUUACUGAUGACCGAUUGUUGUUCAGUGCAUCUUGCUAUGCAGCUAAAGUAAGCUACAGUUACAACAUGAGACUUGUUCAGUGCAUCUUGUUAUGCAGCUAAAGUAAGCUACAGUUACAACAUGAGACUACAUUUACAGUUAUGAGAGAAGAUACAAAUAUUUUCUUUGUGGUCACAUUUACAGUACGACAAGAUAACAUAUUUUCUUGUUUACAUAAAAAAAAUUGUAAUGAAAAACGAAAUAAGUUAUUCGUAAAAUAAAAUCAUAUAACUACAGUAGAUGAGAAAACUAGAAUUAUGCUUGACAACAGGAUAUCCUGAAGGUUUAGCUAGUUUUUUUUGUGGAGAUUCAUGUAGUUCUGACGCUGCUGUGCAGAUUUUGACGGUGGACAUGAUGGUGUAUAUAAAGUGUAAGAAAAAAGACAUAGUAGGAGUGGAGAUUGUUAGUUAAUUGAAGACUAAUUAUUUCCUAAGUUAGCCGUGACUGUUUUGGGAAAGGGGUUUCCUAAAAUGGCUAGAAUUCUUGGUGGCGAAGUUUGUA